RNAcentral lists this ribosomal RNA (450 nucleotides) under uncultured bacterium. Its description in RNAcentral is "bacterial SSU rRNA". It matches the Rfam family "Bacterial small subunit ribosomal RNA", at positions 354 to 796 of the family's 1533-position model. The record is from RNAcentral.
GUGGGGAAUAUUGGACAAUGGGCGCAAGUCUGAUCCAGCCAUGCCGCGUGUGUGAAGAAGGCCUUCGGGUUGUAAAGCACUUUUGUCCGGGAAGAAAUCUUCCAGGUUAAUACCCUGGGAGGCUGACGGUACCGGAAGAAUAAGCACCGGCUAACUUCGUGCCAGCAGCCGCGGUAAUACGAAGGGUGCAAGCGUUACUCGGAAUUACUGGGCGUAAAGCGUGCGUAGGUGGUUCGUUAAGUCUGCCGUGAAAGCGCCGGGCUCAACCUGGGAAUGGCGGUGGAUACUGGCGGGCUAGAGUGCGGUAGAGGGUGGUGGAAUUCCCGGUGUAGCAGUGAAAUGCGUAGAGAUCGGGAGGAACAUCUGUGGCGAAGGCGGCCACCUGGACCAGCACUGACACUGAGGCACGAAAGCGUGGGGAGCAAACAGGAUUAGAUACCCCGGUAGUCC